AGCAUUCUCUGGUGUUGAAGGCCCUGCAAAGCAGCAUCGCGGUGGCGGAGCGUCGUUUGCGACGCCCAACACACAAAACAAGCGGUGAGUGCUUUGGGGUGGGGUGACUGCGUACCUUUUGUAUAAUGGGUCAGCGACUUAUAUUCUGUAGCAAGGUUAACCGAAUAGGGGAGCCGGAGGGAAACCGAGUCUUAAUUGGGCGUUAAGUUGCAGGGUAUAGACCCGAAACCCGGUGAUCUAGCCAUGGGCAGGUUGAAGGUUGGGUAACACUAACUGGAGGACCGAACCGACUAAUGUUGAAAAAUUAGCGGAUGACCUGUGGCUGGGGGUGAAAGGCCAAUCAAACCGGGAGAUAGCUGGUUCUCCCCGAAAGCUAUUUAGGUAGCGCCUCGUGAAUUCAUCUCCGGGGGUAGAGCACUGUUUCGGCUAGGGGGCCAUCCCGGCUUACCAACCCGAUGCAAACUGCGAAUACCGGAGAAUGUUAUCACGGGAGACACACGGCGGGUGCUAACGUCCGUCGUGAAGAGGGAAACAACCCAGACCGCCAGCUAAGGUCCCAAAGUCAUGGUUAAGUGGGAAACGAUGUGGGAAGGCCCAGACAGCCAGGAUGUUGGCUUAGAAGCAGCCAUCAUUUAAAGAAAGCGUAAUAGCUCACUGGUCGAGUCGGCCUGCGCGGAAGAUGUAACGGGGCUAAACCAUGCACCGAAGCUGCGGCAGCGACGCUUAUGCGUUGUUGGGUAGGGGAGCGUUCU
This 752-nucleotide ribosomal RNA is filed under the name Salmonella enterica. RNAcentral describes it as "partial 23S ribosomal RNA". The stretch from base 78 to 752 matches the Rfam family "Bacterial large subunit ribosomal RNA", at positions 566 to 1242 of the family's 2925-position model. The record is from RNAcentral. Lineage: Bacteria; Pseudomonadati; Pseudomonadota; Gammaproteobacteria; Enterobacterales; Enterobacteriaceae.